Chrysemys picta bellii (western painted turtle) is the source of this 1560-nucleotide long non-coding RNA. NCBI's taxonomy places the organism in Eukaryota, Metazoa, Chordata, Testudines, Emydidae. The record is from Ensembl.
AAAAAAAUCAUACAAACCUGCCGCCCCGGGCAUGAGGCCAGCCAACCCUUUCCCUGUAGCCCCGGGCUGUGUGUGGCAGGGACGCCGGGAACCAUGAGAGGCGGUUGUGGGACGCUCUUUAUGGGGUAGUGUAGGGGGAGCCGGGGAAGGAGGGUCUUUGCGGGGGUUUUCUUUCUCUCGGGGAGGGGGGCCUCAUGCUUUCUGUUCUCCUAGGCGGGUGCCCGCCCGGGAGCUAGUGCUGAUGUCCAGGGGGUGUCUCUUUGCGGCGCAUCCUUCGCCAUUAGGGGUCUGGGGGGAGGGGUGUUCUCUUCUCUCCGGGUUGCUAGGGAGUUGCUAGGGCGCCAUGUUGGGCGAUUUGGUGCCCUGGAAGUGAUAUCCCCGGCGGGAUUUCUCUUCCGGUGCGGCGGGCCAGCGCCGGACCCGGCCAAGUUAGGACGGAGGCAGGAAAUGGCGGCGACGCUGCUGCAGCAGCUGCCGGGCCCCCGAGCUCCACUGUGCCGGGCCCAGGCCGCCUAGAGAGCCGCCGAGCCAGCGCCGGGCCCGGGCCGCAGCCAUCCCGGGCCGGACUCCGAGCACUUUACAUACAUGAGAGAAUUGGAAGCUAAAGCUACCAAAGAAGUUGAAAGAAAACUAAGCAGGGAUUUAGUGCAAGAAGAGGAAGAACAGUUGAUGGAAGAAAGGAAAAAGAGAAAAGAAGACAAGAAAAAGAAGGAAGCUGCUCAAAAAAAGGUAUGUGGAUCAUUUAAGUUAAAAAAAAUAGGAUUUGGCUUUUGUUUUUUUUCUCAGACUAAUUUUGCUUAUUGUAAUAUAGCUGUUAAAGAUAAGCCCUUUUUUUUUUUUUUUUAAAUCUCAUUAUAGCACUUCCAAAGCACAAUGCAAUCAUCAAGUAACUGUCUUACUGAACAUCUUUACUGAUCUUGCAGGCAUAGUUUUUUCAAAGCUAAAAAUCUUGUUUAGAUAUCCAUUUAGCUCACAGAUCUUCAGUUGAUAGGGACGUUUCUGGAUGCAAGCCCAUGCAUACACAAUGUGAAGACUGACAUAGUAUAAAAUGUUUUUUAAAAUAGUUGUUUUUAGCUGUUAGCCUUAUUUUAAUACAUCUGAUUAGCCUUCUGUGAUUAGUGUAACUCUUCAUCACACAUGCUUUAUCAAAGAUGGAUAAAAUUAAAACAUUGGCAGCAGGGAGUGGGGUUUAAGACUAGUUAUGGUAAAGUGCUUUGAAGAUAUAAGAGCAUUGAGUGAAUACUAAGAAUUAUUCCCAAGACAUUUUUAAAGAAAAAAUACAAAAUUACUUUUUGGGUAAUGUUAAAACAGUAUCCGUCAGUCAUUAGUAUUUAACAUUGUAGAUGCCCUGGUUGAGAGGAGCCCAUAAAUCUGGCUAAGAACAUAUCUCCAUUUCAGACUUCCAAUUCCUGUAAGGAGACAUCUAAAAUAAGCCUAGUUCUCAAUUUUUUCUUGAUCCUCCUUAGCAAUGUAAAAUGUUCAGUUCAUAUGCAGAAAGAUGGCUAGUCAUUUCUGCAACCCAGACCUCUUGUCAAAAUAAAAGGGUUUAUCUCAUUUACA